Molecule: ribosomal RNA, 356 nt
Filed under: uncultured bacterium
Lineage: Bacteria
Description: bacterial SSU rRNA
Rfam family: Bacterial small subunit ribosomal RNA
Source: RNAcentral
AGCGAACGCUGGCGGCAGGCCUAACACAUGCAAGUCGAGCGGCCGUAGCAAUACGGCAGCGGCAGACGGGAUAGUAACACGUGGGAACGCGCCCUUCGGUUCGGAAUAACUCAGGGAAACUUGAGCUAAUACCGGAUACGCCCUUACGGGGAAAGAUUAUUGCCGAAGGAACGGCCCGCGUCGGAUUAGCUAGUUGGUGAGGUAAUGGCUCACCAAGGCGACGAUCCGUAGCUGGUCUGAGAGGAUGACCAGCAUCACUGGGACUGGGACACGGCCCAGACUCCUACGGGAGGCAGCAGUGGGGAAUAUUGGGACAAUGGGCGCAAGCCUGAUCCAGCCAUGCCGCGUGGAUGAUG